Molecule: ribosomal RNA, 478 nt
Filed under: uncultured bacterium
Lineage: Bacteria
Description: partial 16S ribosomal RNA
Rfam family: Bacterial small subunit ribosomal RNA
Source: RNAcentral
AUUGAACGCUGGCGGCGUGCUUAACACAUGCAAGUCGAGCGAUGAAGUUCCUUCGGGAAUGGAUUAGCGGCGGACGGGUGAGUAACACGUGGGUAACCUGCCUCAUAGAGGGGAAUAGCCUUCCGAAAGGAAGAUUAAUACCGCAUAAGAUCGUAGUUUCGCAUGAAACAGCAAUUAAAGGAGUAAUCCGCUAUGAGAUGGACCCGCGUCGCAUUAGCUAGUUGGUGAGGUAACGGCUCACCAAGGCGACGAUGCGUAGCCGACCUGAGAGGGUGAUCGGCCACAUUGGGCCUGAGACACGGCCCGGACUCCUACGGGAGGCAGCAGUGGGGAAUAUUGCACAAUGGGGGAAACCCUGAUGCAGCAACGCCGCGUGAGUGAUGACGGUCUUCGGAUUGUAAAACUCUGUCUUCAGGGACGAUAGUGACGGUACCUGAGGAGGAAGCCACGGCUAACUACGUGCCAGCCGCCGCAGUAA